RNAcentral lists this ribosomal RNA (406 nucleotides) under uncultured bacterium. RNAcentral describes it as "partial 16S ribosomal RNA". It matches the Rfam family "Bacterial small subunit ribosomal RNA", at positions 28 to 526 of the family's 1533-position model. The record is from RNAcentral.
GAUGAACGCUGGCUACAGGCCUAACACAUGCAAGUCGAGGGACCGGCGCACGGGUGAGUAACACGUAUCCACCCUGCCCUUUACUCGGGGAUAGCCUUUCGAAAGCAAGAUUAAUACCCGAUAAUAAGGAGGGGGAUGCGUUACUUUAGGUUGUUGGUGAGGUAACGGCUCACCAAGGCUUCGAGGGAUAGGGGUGCGGAGAGGAAGGCCCCCCACAAUUGAACUGAGACCCGGUCCAAAAUGGUACGUGAGGCAGCAGAUAGGAAUAUAGUUCAAGGAGCGCUAGCCUGAACCUGCCAAGUAGCUUGAAGGGUGAUGGGUUAUGGGUCGUAAACUUCUUGUAUAUAAGAAGCUGUAUUAUAUGAAUAAGCACCGGCUAACUCCGUGCCAGCCGCCGCGGUAAUAC